CAACCCUCAGGCCCCGCCUGGCGUUGGAGGACUGCGCACGCAGCCUCCCAAAGUGAGCGGCGGCGGCGCCCCAAGACCGAACGCAGUAGUUUUCUCUCGUUCAGGGCCUGGGACGUUGUCCUGCCGGAAAACCCCCAACUUUUACGU
RNAcentral lists this unclassified non-coding RNA (147 nucleotides) under uncultured Chaetosphaeriaceae. RNAcentral's name for it is "sequence contains ITS2". Lineage: Eukaryota; Fungi; Ascomycota; Sordariomycetes; Chaetosphaeriales; Chaetosphaeriaceae. The record is from RNAcentral.